This is a long non-coding RNA of Hibiscus syriacus, 177 nucleotides long. RefSeq lists it as uncharacterized. Lineage: Eukaryota; Viridiplantae; Streptophyta; Magnoliopsida; Malvales; Malvaceae. The transcript has 3 exons. The record is from RefSeq and is a predicted model, not a curated record.
CUGGAUCAAAGAGCUUUACUUGUAUAGCUCAUGAGGAUGAAAAUACAUCAGGUUCUAAAGUUGGUCGAAUUCAACUCUUCGAUAUGACACAUACAAAGAAGGAUGUCACUCCUAUGACUGUUGACGCUGCAGAAAUUAUGGAAAAAUUGAGGGAGAAAAAGGCGGAGCAUCAUGCUA